Molecule: ribosomal RNA, 253 nt
Filed under: uncultured bacterium
Lineage: Bacteria
Description: partial 16S ribosomal RNA
Rfam family: Bacterial small subunit ribosomal RNA
Source: RNAcentral
CACGUAGGGCGCAAGCGUUGUCCGGAAUUAUUGGGCGUAAAGAGCUCGUAGGCGGUCUGUUGCGUCUGCUGUGAAAACUCGGGGCUUAACCCCGAGCCUGCAGUGGAUACGGGCAGACUAGAGGUAGGUAGGGGAGAAUGGAAUUCCCGGUGUAGCGGUGAAAUGCGCAGAUAUCGGGAGGAACACCGGUGGCGAAGGCGGGUCUCUGGGCCGAUAUUGACGCUGAGGAGCGAAAGCGUGGGGAGCGAACAGG